Molecule: non-coding RNA, 269 nt
Organism: Pelobates cultripes (western spadefoot toad)
Lineage: Eukaryota; Metazoa; Chordata; Amphibia; Anura; Pelobatidae
Source: the annotation of a GenBank genome assembly
CCCCUAGUACCAUCCUUGCAUUCAGUGUUAAACUGUUUUAAAUGGUCUAAUCCUAUGCGAUAGUUCACAGCAGCUCAUCCCACAUUCUGCUCGGGCUUAUGGUGAAGUAUUAGCAUAAGAAGCUAUAUUGGCUUUGAUUGGCUGAGAGUGUCAUCUGACCACUUUCAGCCUAUCACAUUGCACCGGGUCAAGUGUGAAUUGGUAUGGCUAGAAGGAAGUGUGCAAUGUCUGCUUUAACCUCACCCCCAGUAGAUUGGUGGUGCUGUAAG